GUUCGGUGGAAACGAGAAUAAAACGUGAAGGAUAACGUUGCGUCAGCAACGGCCCGUAGGGCGAGGCGAAGCCGAGUCAUCCUGCACGACCCACCA
This 96-nucleotide small RNA is filed under the name Salmonella enterica subsp. enterica serovar Potsdam. Its description in RNAcentral is "partial RtT sRNA". It matches the Rfam family "RtT RNA", at positions 41 to 130 of the family's 130-position model. From Rfam's summary of the family: This family represents a bacterial cis-regulatory element known as RtT RNA. The exact function of RtT is unknown although it is thought that it may be involved in changing the cellular response in relation to amino acid starvation. RNAcentral also lists the same sequence under 19 other names. The record is from RNAcentral. Lineage: Bacteria; Pseudomonadati; Pseudomonadota; Gammaproteobacteria; Enterobacterales; Enterobacteriaceae.